CCCUUAGAUGUUCUGGGCCGCACGCGCGCUACACUGAUACGUUCAACGAGUUUACAACCUUGAUCGAAGGGUCUGGGUAAUCUUUUGAAUGCGCAUCGUGCUAGGGAUAGACUAUUGCAAUUAUUAGUCUUGAACGAGGAAUUCCUAGUAAACGCAAGUCAUCAGCUUGCAUUGAUUACGUCCCUGCCCUUUGUACACACCGCCCGUCGCACCUACCGAUUGAAUGACUCGGUGAAAUAUCGGGACCGUUGUCUGGUUUGAUUCAUUUCGAACUAGAUAGUGGGAACUUUCUUUAACCUAUUUAUUUAGAGGAAGGUGAAGUCGUAACA
Molecule: ribosomal RNA, 329 nt
Filed under: uncultured eukaryote
Lineage: Eukaryota
Description: partial 18S ribosomal RNA
Rfam family: Eukaryotic small subunit ribosomal RNA
Source: RNAcentral